GCGCCCAUAGCUCAGCUGGAUAGAGUGUUGGUUUCCGAAGCCAAAGGUCACAGGUUCGACUCCUGUUGGGCGCGCCA
This 77-nucleotide transfer RNA is filed under the name Betaproteobacteria bacterium. Its description in RNAcentral is "tRNA-Arg". It matches the Rfam family "tRNA". Rfam says of the family: Transfer RNA (tRNA) molecules are approximately 80 nucleotides in length. Their secondary structure includes four short double-helical elements and three loops (D, anti-codon, and T loops). The record is from RNAcentral. Lineage: Bacteria; Pseudomonadati; Pseudomonadota; Betaproteobacteria. RNAcentral also lists the same sequence under 1 other name.